This 301-nucleotide ribosomal RNA is filed under the name uncultured bacterium. RNAcentral describes it as "partial 16S ribosomal RNA". It matches the Rfam family "Bacterial small subunit ribosomal RNA", at positions 509 to 808 of the family's 1533-position model. The record is from RNAcentral.
CAGCAGCGCGGUAACACGUAGGGUGCGAGCGUUAAUCGGAAUUACUGGGCGUAAAGCGUGCGCAGGCGGUUCGUUAAGACAGUUGUGAAAUCCCCGGGCUUAACCUGGGAACUGCAUUUGUGACUGGCGAGCUAGAGUAUGGCAGAGGGGGGUAGAAUUCCACGUGUAGCAGUGAAAUGCGUAGAGAUGUGGAGGAAUACCGAUGGCGAAGGCAGCCCCCUGGGCCAAUACUGACGCUCAUGCACGAAAGCGUGGGGAGCAAACAGGAUUAGAUACCCCCGUAGUCCCUGUCUCUUAUACA